GGAUUCGAAUGGGGGAACCCUGACGCAGCAAUGCCGCGUGGAGGAUGAAGUCCCUUGGGAUGUAAACUCCUUUCGAUCGGGAAGAUAAUGACGGUACCGGAAGAAGAAGCCCCGGCUAACUCUGUGCCAGCAGCCGCGGUAAUACAGAGGGGGCAAGCGUUGUUCGGAAUUAUUGGGCGUAAAGGGCGCGUAGGCGGUGCGGUAAGUCACUUGUGAAAUCUCUGGGCUCAACUCAGAGUCUGCAAGCGAAACUGCCGUGCUUGAGUGUCGGAGAGGUAAGUGGAAUCCCCGGUGUAGCGGUGAAAUGCGUAGAUAUCGGGAGGAACACCUGUGGCGAAAGCGGCUUACUAGACGACAACUGACGCUGAGGCGCGAAAGCUAGGGGAGCAAACAGGAUUAGAUACCCUGGUAGUCCUAGCCCUAAACGAUGGAUGCUUGGUGUAGCAGGUACCCAAUCCUGCUGUGCCGGAGCUAACGCGUUAAGCAUCCCGCCUGGGGAGUACGGUCGCAAGGCUGAAACUCAAAGAAAUUGACGGA
This 537-nucleotide ribosomal RNA is filed under the name uncultured bacterium. Its description in RNAcentral is "bacterial SSU rRNA". It matches the Rfam family "Bacterial small subunit ribosomal RNA", at positions 358 to 917 of the family's 1533-position model. The record is from RNAcentral.